Molecule: ribosomal RNA, 430 nt
Filed under: uncultured bacterium
Lineage: Bacteria
Also listed under: 1 other name
Description: bacterial SSU rRNA
Rfam family: Bacterial small subunit ribosomal RNA
Source: RNAcentral
GUAGGGAAUCUUCGGCAAUGGGCGAAAGCCUGACCGAGCAACGCCGCGUGAAUGAAGAAGGCCUUCGGGUUGUAAAAUUCUGUUAUAAGGGAAGAAAGGUGAUAGGAGGAAAUGACUAUCAAUUGACGGUACCUUAUGAGAAAGCCACGGCUAACUACGUGCCAGCAGCCGCGGUAAUACGUAGGUGGCAAGCGUUAUCCGGAAUUAUUGGGCGUAAAGAGCGCGCAGGUGGUUAAUUAAGUCUGAUGUGAAAGCCCACGGCUUAACCGUGGAGGGUCAUUGGAAACUGGUUGACUUGAGUGCAGAAGAGGGAAGUGGAAUUCCAUGUGUAGCGGUGAAAUGCGUAGAGAUAUGGAGGAACACCAGUGGCGAAGGCGGCUUCCUGGUCUGCAACUGACACUGAGGCGCGAAAGCGUGGGGAGCAAACAGG